Molecule: long non-coding RNA, 725 nt
Organism: Mustela erminea (ermine)
Lineage: Eukaryota; Metazoa; Chordata; Mammalia; Carnivora; Mustelidae
Exons: 4
Source: RefSeq, a predicted model, not a curated record
GCACCGCGCGGCCCGGAGCCCCGGGAAGGGCCGGCGGAGGCGGAGCCCCGGGCGCUGGGGGCGGGGCCCGCGGCGUGACCCGACCCGCCGGGUGUCUCCGACCGCAAACCGCGGGACCGCGGCGAGCGCCGCCCCUCCCGCCCGGGCCGCGGGCCGGAUCCCGGGGGAUCCUGCUUCGGGGGACGCUGCGGGGGACGCUGCGGCUCCCGCCCUCCCUGCCCGGGUCCCGACGCCGUAAGCCGCGGCCCCGACGGGCGUGAAGGGGAUUUUCAGCAGCGAAGAGGUGGCGGGAAACCUGCUGUCGUCGGAAGGGUGUUUUUGCGGACGCUCUCGUUUAACCGUCAGACAAGCCAAAGGUAGGUCCUGCGAACUCAUGCCCGGUUCCGACGAGCGACGUGAGGCUUGGAGGGGCUGAACGAUCCGCUGGAUGUCGCACCGCUGGUGGCCUGCUGCCGGACCCAGGCCGGGCUGUCACAGCGCGAACACCACCCUCAUAACCACGAACUUCCCCUCUCCGGGCCCCGCAUCUGGGAGACAGAAACUUGUGUAAGGAAAGUCACCGGACUCAGCGAGGCUGGGGGUUCUUAAUGGCUAACAGGGGCUUGUGUUUCAGAGAUGGUGUACAUUGAUUCCAUGGUUCACCUACAGAUCAGAACCUAGAGUUUAAGAAACACUUUGGUGGAGAAUGCAUGAAGAUGUGUCUAGAAAGAAGUUGCUGCAGCUGA